This 400-nucleotide ribosomal RNA is filed under the name uncultured bacterium. Its description in RNAcentral is "bacterial SSU rRNA". It matches the Rfam family "Bacterial small subunit ribosomal RNA", at positions 356 to 773 of the family's 1533-position model. The record is from RNAcentral.
GGGGAAUCUUAGACAAUGGGCGCAAGCCUGAUCUAGCCAUGCCGCGUGAGCGAUGAAGGCCUUAGGGUUGUAAAGCUCUUUCGUGGGGGAAGAUAAUGACUGUACCCCAAGAAGAAGCCCCGGCUAACUCCGUGCCAGCAGCCGCGGUAAUACGGAGGGGGCUAGCGUUGUUCGGAAUUACUGGGCGUAAAGCGCACGUAGGCGGACUGGAAAGUCAGGGGUGAAAUCCCGGGGCUCAACCCCGGAACUGCCUUUGAAACUCCCAGUCUUGAGUUCGAGAGAGGUGAGUGGAAUUCCGAGUGUAGAGGUGAAAUUCGUAGAUAUUCGGAGGAACACCAGUGGCGAAGGCGGCUCACUGGCUCGAUACUGACGCUGAGGUGCGAAAGCGUGGGGAGCAAAC